This 511-nucleotide ribosomal RNA is filed under the name uncultured bacterium. RNAcentral's name for it is "bacterial SSU rRNA". It matches the Rfam family "Bacterial small subunit ribosomal RNA", at positions 19 to 518 of the family's 1533-position model. The record is from RNAcentral.
CUGGCUCAGGAUGAACGCUAGCUACAGGCUUAACACAUGCAAGUCGAGGGGCAGCAGGACGAUAGCCUGCUAUUGUUGCUGGCGACCGGCGCACGGGUGAGUAACGCGUAUCCAACCUUCCCCUUAGUAGGGCAUAGCCCGGUGAAAAUCGGAUUAAUACCCUAUGUUGUGUCAUGAGGACAUCUGAAUAACACUAAAGAUUUAUCGCUAAGGGAUGGGGAUGCGUCCGAUUAGGUAGUCGGCGGGGUAACGGCCCACCGAGCCCUCGAUCGGUAGGGGUUCUGAGAGGAAGGUCCCCCACACUGGUACUGAGACACGGACCAGACUCCUACGGGAGGCAGCAGUGAGGAAUAUUGGUCAAUGGGCGCGAGCCUGAACCAGCCAAGUAGCCGUGCAGGAUGACGGCCCUAUGGGUUGUAAACUGCUUUUAUACGGGGAUAAAGUGAGGGACGUGUCCCUUAUUGUAGGUACCGUAUGAAUAAGGACCGGCUAAUUCCGUGCCAGCAGCCGC